This 549-nucleotide long non-coding RNA is filed under the name Rattus norvegicus (Norway rat). RNAcentral describes it as "long non-coding RNA NONRATT014121". Lineage: Eukaryota; Metazoa; Chordata; Mammalia; Rodentia; Muridae. The record is from RNAcentral.
GACUGCAAGACCCGGAGAAGCAAGAAAGCCCGGUAGAAGAGGCAACCAGGAAGCCUCAGCCCUGUACUGAGAGUGAGGGUCCCCCAGAGGAUGCCACCCCGCUCCUAGCUGAGACCCCAGCCCCAGAGCAGCCUGUGGAAAGCCAGCCACUGCUCCGUCAGGAAGUGUCCAGCACCAACCCUGGUGACCACCCUGCACCCACAUAUGCACCUGCCCCCCAGCUUGAGCUGGCUGAGGUCAAAGAAGCUAGUGGCCCCAAGCAAAAGACGUGCCAGUGUUGUGUGGUCAUGUGAGCCUACGCCUGCCGCCCAGCACCCUCUUCCUCCUCUCACAGCUACCUCGCUGCCUGGCAUCCAGCAGAAGGUCCCAGGCAUAGACAGGGUACCAUAGGACUCGUGGUAGCACCCAGGAGCCAGUAGGCCCCUGUGCUUACUUACACCUGGGCUUUUAGAUUCCCUGCCCACUGCCUGUGGCCCUGACUUCCUUCUGCAAUGAAGCCUUUAUACUUGAAAAUUAAAUGUUAAGGCACUCUGGCUUUAAGAAAAAAAC